AGAUGUGAGGGUGAUCUGGCUGUGACAUCUGUCACCCCACUGAUUGCUAGGGUUGAUUCAGCUGAUCUGGUUGGCUAGGCGGGUGUCCCCUUCCUCCCUCACAGCUCCAUGUGCAUCCCUCCAGCAACUCUCCCACCUCAUCCUGCUGAGCAGCUGGGACUGUGGGCACACACCACCACACCCAGCUAAUUUUGUCUGUUUAUUUAUUUAUUUAGAGAUGGAGUCUCGCUCUGUCGC
Chlorocebus sabaeus (green monkey) is the source of this 237-nucleotide non-coding RNA. It matches the Rfam family "7SK RNA". From Rfam's summary of the family: 7SK was discovered as an abundant small nuclear RNA in the mid-70s but a possible function has only recently been suggested. Two independent studies have found that 7SK RNA binds the CDK9/cyclin T complex (known as elongation factor P-TEFb). P-TEFb activates transcription by phosphorylating the C-terminal domain of RNA polymerase II. NCBI's taxonomy places the organism in Eukaryota, Metazoa, Chordata, Mammalia, Primates, Cercopithecidae. The record is from Rfam.